RNAcentral lists this ribosomal RNA (447 nucleotides) under uncultured bacterium. RNAcentral's name for it is "bacterial SSU rRNA". It matches the Rfam family "Bacterial small subunit ribosomal RNA", at positions 355 to 825 of the family's 1533-position model. The record is from RNAcentral.
UCGGGAAUUUUGGGCAAUGGGCGAAAGCCUGACCCAGCAACGCCGCGUGAAGGAUGAAGUAUUUCGGUAUGUAAACUUCGAAAGAAUAGGAAGAAUAAAUGACGGUACUAUUUAUAAGGUCCGGCUAACUACGUGCCAGCAGCCGCGGUAAUACGUAGGGACCAAGCGUUGUUCGGAUUUACUGGGCGUAAAGGGCGCGUAGGCGGCAAUUCAAGUCAUCUGUGAAAUCUCCGGGCUUAACUCGGAACGGUCAGAUGAUACUGCUGUGCUAGAGUACAGAAAGGGCAAUCGGAAUUCUUGGUGUAGCGGUGAAAUGCGUAGAUAUCAAGAGGAACACCUGAGGCGAAGGCGGGUUGCUAGGCUGAUACUGACGCUGAGGCGCGAAAGCUAGGGUAGCAAACGGGAUUAGAUACCCUCGUAGUCCCUGAGCGGGCUGGCAAGGCGCAU